UGCCUAUGGCCAUACUAGCCUGAACACGCCCGAUCCCGUCCGAUCUCGGAAGCUAAGCAGGCUCAGGCCUGGUUAGUACUUGGAUGGGAGACCGCCUGGGAAUACCAGGUGCCGUAGGCU
Molecule: ribosomal RNA, 120 nt
Filed under: Raja montagui (spotted ray)
Lineage: Eukaryota; Metazoa; Chordata; Chondrichthyes; Rajiformes; Rajidae
Source: RNAcentral